Molecule: ribosomal RNA, 492 nt
Filed under: uncultured bacterium
Lineage: Bacteria
Description: partial 16S ribosomal RNA
Rfam family: Bacterial small subunit ribosomal RNA
Source: RNAcentral
GAUGAACGCUAGCUACAGGCUUAACACAUGCAAGUCGAGGGGAAACGACAUCGAAAGCUUGCUUUUGAUGGGCGUCGACCGGCGCACGGGUGAGUAACGCGUAUCCAACCUGCCCGUCACUUGGGGAUAACCUUGCGAAAGUAAGACUAAUACCCAAUGAUAUCUCUAGAAGACAUCUGAAAGAGAUUAAAGAUUUAUCGGUGAUGGAUGGGGAUGCGUCUGAUUAGCUUGUUGGCGGGGUAACGGCCCACCAAGGCAACGAUCAGUAGGGGUUCUGAGAGGAAGGUCCCCCACAUUGGAACUGAGACACGGUCCAAACUCCUACGGGAGGCAGCAGUGAGGAAUAUUGGUCAAUGGGCGAGAGCCUGAACCAGCCAAGUAGCGUGCAGGAAGACGGCCCUAUGGGUUGUAAACUGCUUUUAUAAGGGAAUAAAGUGAGAGUCGUGACUCUUUUUGUAUGUACCUUAUGAAUAAGGACCGGCUAAUUCCGUG